GCGUGUUGUCGGGUCGGGUCGGGGUCGAUCGAUCGCUCGUUAGUGUUGUGUCGCGUCUCGCGUCGCCGUCUCGGCGUGCGCAUUGUUUGGAUCGUGGUCGUCGAGGCCCCUUUUUCCGGAGCCGCUCUUUUCACUUCCUCCUUUUUUUUUUAUUGCGGAGGGGAGGAGGAGGGUGUGGUGGGGAGGCGGGAGGAAGGAGGGGAGAGGUAAGGAGCGGGAGGGGGUGAAGGAGAGCUAGAGAGAGGGGUCGAGCGGUCGGCGAAGGAGGGGAGGGUUUGGGGAGGGGCGCGGACCUAGGGCGCACGAGGGCGGAUGGGAGCGGCGGAGAGGCCGCCGGAGGAAGCCCGCACGAGGUCGGCUCCCUGCUCAGCCCGGGGUAACCGCGCCCGGCGGCAUCCGUCCGGCAUCCGCAACCCCCGCUCAGCUCCGCCCAGAGGCCCCCCCGCCCCGCGCUACUCCUCCCGGCACCCGACUGCGGCUACUACAGCCUGCGGAGCAGCCUAGAGCCGCCGCCGUCCCGGCCCGGGCACCUCGCGCUGUAGCUCGUCCGGUAGUGACGAGAGUUCUUUCCUCGUAUGGACGACUUCAUACCUGCAUCUCCCUUCGGUUUUAAAACAGGGAAGUCUGAAAGGUUACUACUUAGAUAUAACUAAACCAAGAGUCCCUUUCUCCUCUUCGUUGAUUCUAACUCAGUACACAGGUCUUAUUAAGGACCUGUCGCUUGACGCUAAAAAGUCUCCAUAGGUGCUGGGCUCUUCCUUACGGUCAGUAAAAGAGAGUAUAGGGUACUAUCUAGUAACCUGUAAUAUACGUUUCUAUUUCUACUUCGACUUCACACCAAACGACCCGAUUUUUGUGACUAUAGUGCAUCAGUGGUUUCUUUUACCUCUUGUCUUAGUUCUUCACUAUACGAAAGGAGACCAUGUUGAUCAGGUUCUUGAAUAUGCUCUUCCUCGAGAGGGAACUCAAGAGGAAAGUCAUCGUUACUAUCACAGGUGUUCCUACCGUCGCUUUUAAUAGCUGAGGCCUCAGGUAUACCCUCAGGUGGCUUCCAACCGAACCUGUUCCGGAAGAGACUGUAACAUAGUAUACGUCGGGGUGGAUCUGGGAAGAAGGGUAGCCUAAGAUUACAACCUAGUCAAGUGAGACACAGAAGACCCGUGAGUCUAUUGUGUUUACCCUUGAGCUCCCCGUAGGGUUACCUACGAAAGGCUCAAUCAAAUAGUUCACGACAGUCAAGUAGUUCAGUACCAAGACCAGUACUACUACCACUACGAGAUCCACUACAAAAGUAAACCCCUCUCCCUUGACCCCUCCCUUAAGAACCACCACCGUUAAGUUCCCAACCUUCAAGGAGCCCACGUUUCUACCUAACAGAAAAUGGCUUCGGUAACCUCAAACGACCUUCCGAACUACACGUCUUGUAAAGUACACCUCCUUCCGUACGAUGUGAACAGUGAUUCGUCCCUCUCCAGAUGAGAACCCCACUCCUCAGUCCACCCGCAGAACCAGUACCACACCUGACACUGCACGGGGUCGGUUUUGAAUAGCUACGAGAACGAGUAUACUUGUAACUCGAUCAUCGUACACCACUCAUGGUAUGAACGCGUCAGUGCGAGAGACCUCUAAACAUGUGUACCCCUUUACCGUGGAAAUUAAAACCUGAAAGUCCAGUACCCUUACUUCAGUCAGUAACCUACGGGUUUUCCGAGUUACCUGGUAAUCUUCCGUAUGUACAAAGCAGAUAAAGUACACCGGGAACCGUGUGCCGACAUCAUUGUAGACGUCCAGUCGAUAAGUGUAAACCUCUACCGAGAAAACCUCAAGAUCCAGUACCUCUAGCAGUCUCAUAAAGCCAUGGUUCCCUCCACCUUAGGGACUUUCCCGAUGCCUGACAAGCCCGUCGAACACCACACACCGUGUGUCGGCGGCAACAACUUCAAUACCAACCCUUAAGUUCAAGGUCGUUAACAAGAAGACCGUUCUAUAAAUGUACCCCACUACCACUAUUUCCAGCAAACCCUGUACCACUGUUUCUUUGUUCUGAACAGGGUUGCACACACCGAAGAAACCAACUCGGAUUGAAAACGGUUCAUCGAACACCAGUAACAAAGUGCCACCGUGAUUGUUGGAGUCCCGUACACAUGUGUUACCCUUCAAGACAGAUACCAGUCGAACCUUUAGGUGUUCGUCUACCGUACCAAGGACGCGCACAACUUCCUUUUGAUGUAUUUUUGAAACACCUCCUCUAAAGUACACCGCGAAUAGUACAACGACAAAACUGAAGGUCCUGUCUCCACAUAUGUACCCCAUUUCCACGAUUACCGGCCAAUCCUGUACCACUACGACUACUAUCCUUAAGAGGAUGUGAUCAACUUCGAGACUUUCUAUUCGUUCAGUCCUCACAACAAACACCUUAAUUGAAGUGACGUCGUUAUACGUAAGUGUUCACCCACAGACCUCAACUAGUCAGGUACACAAGACCUACAGCGAACGGCAAAUUGAACUCCUCUUUUGCCGUAUUAACGAUGUUGACACGAGAACAUAAAACAGUAAGGACGUCGUCAUUCUUUAGAGACUUCCGAAGUAAUCGUGGUUUGGGUUUGUUCGGAAUGGCACAGACACUAUCGACGAUGCCAUUUGAAUUACUCCCUGGACUCUGUCUAUCCAUAAGAAGUCGUUUCGCGCCUCAAUAGAAUGUUCCCAAGUUACUAAGAUAGUUACUACUAAACCUCUGUUCUAGUUUACAGGUUAACAGAUCUAACAGUAGUUACCUUAGAAAGUUCUUGUACCUAUCGUCUAUAAGUUUCUUUUUAUUCUUCAAACUUAAAUUAUCGUCGGCACAAAGGGGAUAAGGUUUACCGUCGAGAGUGACCUCGCCCGAGUUGUAAAGAUUUAGAAAACCGAGUAGUUUCUUUAAAAAGAGUCGCAGCCAAGGACCUAGUUCUUAACGAAGAUCCCGUUGAAGUGGACAGAGUUCUUCUUGUUCGGGAGGAGCUAGAUGUUGAGGUUGUGGAUGGAACCCACCAGAUUGUAGAGGAUCUCAACAACAUCUACCACGUUUCGGUUAUUUCCUAUCACAUUCGGUUCUCCAAUAUGUAAACUCUAGAGUCCACCUUUUAGAAUGGGCCUUCAGGGUAGAUGACCUUCAACUUAACCUCGCUUGUUGAUUUGUCAAUUUCCUUCGAUAAAGGUAACGUCCCCUCCUUUGACGCUUCACGUUUCGACGUUUUCUUCAUUAGUUCAGCGAGUGACGUGUUAACUUCCCAUACCGUCUCUUCGAUGGACUUCCUCGUCCUCGUCCUCGUCCUCGUCCCCGUCCCCGUCAAUUCGUGUCAUCUGACGAUGGUGAAAGACCUCACGGACAAUUACUGUAUAGUUACCGUUGACUCUUAAAUCCAUCGGGUUCUUUAAGUCCUCUCGGUAUAAACUUGCCCAGAUUACCCAACUAACAAAGAUUACCUGGUUCAAGUCAAUCUUUAUUCUGAGUGGACCUUCAACCGUUCUUGCCUUGGUCUGUCGGGCUAAGUCUGAGAUUCGGACUCAGACUUACCCAUCUCGUUCUACUUGGUCCCCAGAUGUAGUGGGAAUGACGGGAUGGACCUCCCCGAUCUCUAGAAUCCUCCCAUGCCAAGUCGGCCUUCGCAAAGUCGCUCUGCGUUCGUCUCGUUACCACCGUUCUCUUGGCUCGCUCCCAUAUGCUCGACAUAUUGCAAGCACACCACCUGUUUAGUCAGCGGUCAUAACUAUCACUACAUGGAGUGACUGUAUCUCGUACGCAAACCAACGCUCCAAUUAAUCCCGGACUUUCUUUCUCCCGACGACAAACCUUUUACACCCGAACGUAAAAGAAAAUGUGGGAGAAGGAGGAAAAAGAACAUACCUUUCAUCUAAUGGGUUCCUCUUCACUACAUUUACCAAGCACCGUCGGCCGAUUAGACGGGACAUUUACGUAUUCGUUCGUGUGGUUAAAUCUCAAACAAGAAGGAUUAAAAGGUAACUAGGUGCUUAUAUAUCCAGGUUUUCGGCUCGGUCUCUAUUGCCCGCGUCUUGUAAAACCUACGAUUAACAUCUAACUCUACGCUUCAUCGGUACGUUCUCAAUUCGAAAUAAAAGUAACACGACUCACGGGAACAGUAAAAAAUUAAAGCUGAUAGGACGGACGGACGG
RNAcentral lists this ribosomal RNA (4170 nucleotides) under Triticum aestivum (bread wheat). RNAcentral's name for it is "partial small subunit ribosomal RNA". The record is from RNAcentral. Lineage: Eukaryota; Viridiplantae; Streptophyta; Magnoliopsida; Poales; Poaceae.